Molecule: ribosomal RNA, 1248 nt
Filed under: Nocardiopsis sp. AF1
Lineage: Bacteria; Bacillati; Actinomycetota; Actinomycetes; Streptosporangiales; Nocardiopsidaceae
Description: bacterial SSU rRNA
Rfam family: Bacterial small subunit ribosomal RNA
Source: RNAcentral
GCGACGGGUGAGUAACACGUGAGCAACCUGCCCCUGACUCCGGGAUAAGCGGUGGAAACGCCGUCUAAUACCGGAUACGACCCGUCGUCUCAUGACGGUGGGUGGAAAGUUUUUCGGUCAGGGAUGGGCUCGCGGCCUAUCAGCUUGUUGGUGGGGUAACGGCCUACCAAGGCGAUUACGGGUAGCCGGCCUGAGAGGGCGACCGGCCACACUGGGACUGAGACACGGCCCAGACUCCUGCGGGAGGCAGCAGUGGGGAAUAUUGCGCAAUGGGCGAAAGCCUGACGCAGCGACGCCGCGUGGGGGAUGACGGCCUUCGGGUUGUAAACCUCUUUUACCACCAACGCAGGCCCGGGGUUCUCUCCGGGUUGACGGUAGGUGGGGAAUAAGGACCGGCUAACUACGUGCCAGCAGCCGCGGUAAUACGUAGGGUCCGAGCGUUGUCCGGAAUUAUUGGGCGUAAAGAGCUCGUAGGCGGCGUGUCGCGUCUGCUGUGAAAGACCGGGGCUUAACUCCGGUUCUGCAGUGGAUACGGGCAUGCUAGAGGUAGGUAGGGGAGACUGGAAUUCCUGGUGUAGCGGUGAAAUGCGCAGAUAUCAGGAGGAACACCGGUGGCGAAGGCGGGUCUCUGGGCCUUACCUGACGCUGAGGAGCGAAAGCAUGGGGAGCGAACAGGAUUAGAUACCCUGGUAGUCCAUGCCGUAAACGUUGGGCGCUAGGUGUGGGGACUUUCCACGGUUUCCGCGCCGUAGCUAACGCAUUAAGCGCCCCGCCUGGGGAGUACGGCCGCAAGGCUAAAACUCAAAGGAAUUGACGGGGGCCCGCACAAGCGGCGGAGCAUGUUGCUUAAUUCGACGCAACGCGAAGAACCUUACCAAGGUUUGACAUCACCCGUGGACCUGCAGAGAUGUGGGGUCAUUUAGUUGGCGGGUGACAGGUGGUGCAUGGCUGUCGUCAGCUCGUGUCGUGAGAUGUUGGGUUAAGUCCCGCAACGAGCGCAACCCUUGUUCCAUGUUGCCAGCACGUAGUGGUGGGGACUCAUGGGAGACUGCCGGGGUCAACUCGGAGGAAGGUGGGGAUGACGUCAAGUCAUCAUGCCCCUUAUGUCUUGGGCUGCAAACAUGCUACAAUGGCCGGUACAAUGGGCGUGCGAUGCCGUAAGGUGGAGCGAAUCCCUAAAAGCCGGUCUCAGUUCGGAUUGGGGUCUGCAACUCGACCCCAUGAAGGUGGAGUCGCUAGUAAUCGCGG